RNAcentral lists this ribosomal RNA (933 nucleotides) under uncultured beta proteobacterium. RNAcentral describes it as "bacterial SSU rRNA". It matches the Rfam family "Bacterial small subunit ribosomal RNA", at positions 56 to 985 of the family's 1533-position model. Lineage: Bacteria; Pseudomonadati; Pseudomonadota; Betaproteobacteria. The record is from RNAcentral.
UGCAAGUCGAACGCGAAAGCGGAGCAAUCCGCAAGUAGAGUGGCGAACGGGUGAGUAAUACAUCGGAACAUUUCCAGUAGCGGGGGAUAACCUGUCGAAAGAUAGGCUAAUACCGCAUACGCCCCACGGGGGGAAAGCGGAGGACCGCAAGGCUUCGCACUAUUGGAGUGGCCGAUGUCGGAUUAGCUAGUUGGCGGGGUAAAAGCCCACCAAGGCGACGAUCCGUAGCUGGUCUGAGAGGACGAUCAGCCACACUGGAACUGAGACACGGUCCAGACUCCUACGGGAGGCAGCAGUGGGGAAUUUUGGACAAUGGGCGCAAGCCUGGUCCAGCCAUGCCGCGUGAGUGAAGAAGGCCUUCGGGUUGUAAAGCUCUUUCGGUGGGGACGAAAAGGUUCGUGCUAGUACCGCGAACUAAUGACGGUACCCGAAGAAGAAGCACCGGCUAACUACGUGCCAGCAGCCGCGGUAAUACGUAGGGUGCAGGCGUUAAUCGGAAUUACUGGGCGUAAAGCGUGCGCAGGCGGUUUGUUAAGACAGAUGUGAAAUCCCCGGGCUUAACCUGGGAACUGCGUUUGUAACUGGCAAGCUAGAGUGUGGCAGAGGGGGGUGGAAUUCCAAGUGUAGCAGUGAAAUGCGUAGAUAUUUGGAGGAACACCAAUGGCGAAGGCAGCCCCCUGGGUUAACACUGACGCUCAUGCACGAAAGCGUGGGGAGCAAACAGGAUUAGAUACCCUGGUAGUCCACGCCCUAAACUAUGUCAACUGGUUGUCGGGGAAGCAAUUCCUUGGUAACGAAGCUAACGCGUGAAGUUGACCGCCUGGGGAGUACGGCCGCAAGGUUAAAACUCAAAGGAAUUGACGGGGACCCGCACAAGCGGUGGAUUAUGUGGAUUAAUUCGAUGCAACGCGAAAAACCUUACCUACCCUUGAC